Non-coding RNA from Rattus norvegicus (Norway rat), 734 nucleotides. The record is from RefSeq and is a predicted model, not a curated record. NCBI's taxonomy places the organism in Eukaryota, Metazoa, Chordata, Mammalia, Rodentia, Muridae.
AUGCAUGCACAUGUCGCGCGCCCAAUGUCCCGCCAGCAAGAACGACGCGUGGCAACAGGAUUCUUCUGCGAGCAAGCCUUUACUGUGUUACAGCUCUUCUUAGUGUUACAGCUCUCUUAGUGUUACAGCUCUCUUGAACAGGGACUCCGAGCAGCAAAAUCGCUCGGCUUAUAUAGACAACAGUAUGCUAAUUAUCUCUCAGGGAUUGGUGGGGCUUGGAUCACCCCACUACUUGUCCUCCAGGGAUUGGCGGAGAAUGAAUCACCUCAUUAGCAUAUUAACGGUCAACUAACACCUGGUGCAUAAACCGCACAUGUGCAGUACCGCUGUUCACCACUAGAGGGAGCCCUAGCAAGGGGACAAGCCUGCACAUGCGCAGUAAGUCGUUUAUAUCCAGACAAGGCUGGAUGUCGGCGCCAUCUUUGUUUCGCCGCGCCGCUCUCUACAUGCACAGAUGCACACACAUGUUGGAUAUGUACAAUGCUGUGAACAGAAGGCUGAGAAGGGGCAUGGUUAGAUUGGGCCAAGAGGCUUUUGAGAGUCUGUGAAGUCUAUAUGGAAAUUCUUCAGAGCGGCUUUAGAUGCUGAACAGGAAACCGUGGUACAGAUGAUGCAUUCACGUGUGCAGAGAGCCUUCUCCAAAGUGCCGAGACUUUGAAGAUCUGCUAACCUCCUGAAACAGCACUCUCCACAAGGUGUCCCUGUGGUGUGAGGACACUCAGACGACAUGGUAA